GAUGAACGCUGACAGAAUGCUUAACACAUGCAAGUCAACUUGAAUUUGGGUUUUUAACUUAGAUUUGGGUGGCGGACGGGUGAGUAACGCGUAAAGAACUUGCCUCACAGCUAGGGACAACAUUUAGAAAUGAAUGCUAAUACCUGAUAUUAUGAUUUUAAGGCAUCUUAGAAUUAUGAAAGCUAUAUGCACUGUGAGAGAGCUUUGCGUCCCAUUAGCUAGUUGGAGAGGUAACAGCUCACCAAGGCGAUGAUGGGUAGCCGGCCUGAGAGGGUGAACGGCCACAAGGGGACUGAGACACGGCCCUUACUCCUACGGGAGGCAGCAGUGGGGAAUAUUGGACAAUGGACCGAGAGUCUGAUCCAGCAAUUCUGUGUGCACGAUGAAGUUUUUCGGAAUGUAAAGUGCUUUCAGUNGGGAAGAAAAAAANGA
RNAcentral lists this ribosomal RNA (432 nucleotides) under uncultured bacterium. Its description in RNAcentral is "bacterial SSU rRNA". It matches the Rfam family "Bacterial small subunit ribosomal RNA", at positions 28 to 457 of the family's 1533-position model. The record is from RNAcentral.